UUCCGUUUAUAAGCUUAGUGCAGAAACCUCUUUAGUAGAGGACAACAACCAUGCCGUCAAUAAACGAUUGCUGAAUGAUGACAUCUAAGCUCUCUGAGCUAGAACAUAAUUCUGGCUCUGCUAGCAUGUUUUUGUGUGACCUUAGAUAAGUCACUCUACAUUUCUCUCAAUUUUCUCUUAUUACAGGAAGAGAAGGAUAAAAAUGACUGCAAACUACUUCAUGGAGAGCUUUUUGUUUAAAGGCUGACGACAAAUACCAGAGUCACAAGGUCCAGCAAACCUCCCUCAGAAGCAGUUGAGCUUCUUGAGGACAGGGAACUUUUUUUCUUCUUUGAAUCAGCAGUAUCUUAUUUGUAUUUCUGUAAUACAGUUCCUGGCCUAGAAAAAGGUCUCAAAAAAUGCUGUACAUUUAUUAAUGUUAUUAGGCAGAUUGCAAUCUUGGCAGGCCUCUUAAAUCUCUUUUCUGUGAUCCUUUCCAUACUCGGCAUGGAAAAGGCCGCCGCUGUUUGCUCUGGGAUAAGUACCCAAGGCAUUUACUUAAAAAUACCCAAGACUAGAGAAAUAAUUCUCCUGUCUUUAGGGCACCAUUUCGCCUUUCCGCGGCACUGCGCCCCAGGGCUUGGGAUCUGGGUCUGGAGGCGACAGGGAAGAGUUCUCUACGGGAAGCUCAUCCUCCGGCGUGUGAUUGGUCGGCUCACACUCCACUCACGCGGCUCGGGCCUCUGAUUGGCCCCCGUAGCACCCCCCCACCCCCCCCCUCGCGGCCCGCGACUACUUUGUGUACCCGGGUGGCGCGCUUGGGUCCUCCGGCUCAGCUCGCCGUCCGGGCUGGUCCGAGCUAGCUCUUCGGCCCACUACUCUGCACCGCGGGCGCCAGGAAUUUCCCGAGUCCGAGCGGCUUGUCAAUGAGCUGCAGGAAGUGACUUCCACAUCCUAAGUGAAUUGUCCAAACACCCAUCUUGAGAUGCAUCCAUCCAGAGUCGCUUUUGCUGGGAAAAACUUAACUUCUCUGGUGAUUUAAGAAGAGGAAACCGAAACAACAUGACUUGCCCAAUGACAGAGCGUUAACAGGAAAAAUGGGGUUUGAACUCGGGCAGCCCGUCUCCAGAACCUGGGCUUCAAAUGACUAGAUCACACCGGCUCUCUAGCGAUGUGCGCUAAGGUGAAAGCCAGUGCUCUCAGGGACUGCCCAGGUUACCAGUGACCACGGACCACUGCUUUGGAUUUUUACCGAAACUCUCCCCUUAUCUCUGACACUGCAGAUGACUCUUCUUCAAACACUCCUGCCUUGACACUUGAUAUUUUUUUUCUUUUUCUCUGAUUAUAUGUUGGUUCCCCUUUGUGGAUCUUUUUACCAAAUAUUUGUUGGACACCUACUAAAACCCAGGCAUUGUUCAAAGUGCUGAAGAUACUGCAGUGAACACGGGUCAAGAAUCCCUGUUCUUCUGCCUGCCCUCUUAAAAAAAUACGAGCUAAGUACUGCAAAACAGUUAACAUCUGCUUAAUUUCGGUGGUGGGUAAUGUGUGCUAUGUGACUGACUGUACUUUUUAAUGUCUAAAAUGUUUCAUAGGUUAAAGAAAAAUCUCAGUAGAGACUAUGGGAGGAAAGGGAAAUGGGGAAAAGUCUAGGGGAGUAAAGGGCUGAAGCAAGAGAAGGGAAAAGAAAAGAGGGGCGUGAGGAGAAGGGAACUAAGGGGAGAGGAAAAGCCAGGGGAGAGCCCUCCUGACUGCACCCUCCACAAAGCUGGCUGGACACUGUGAGCAUGUGAUACCCAUCAGCAGGUUCUCCCUGGGCACCUCAUACUUACCAUGGCCUAGCCAAACAGCAUUGCUUUAAUGAAGCAUUUGUUAACUGAGACAGACUUUCUCACAAACCGUUUUCAGCGUUCAAGGCCAGGAACCUUAUUCUUUUUGUUUAAUCGUACUUAGCUUGUUAACCUGAAACUGGACUGUAAACAUAUUACAGUUAGUUCAACUUUUAUAUUUAUGUCAUCAGGUUCAUAUAAGAACAAUUAGCAGGGGCCAGCCCCAUGGCUGAGUGGUUGAGUUCGUGUGCUUCGCUGCGGUGGCCCAGGGUUUCGCUGGUUCGGAUCCUGGGGGCGGACGUGGUGCCGCUCAUCAGGCCACGUUGAGGCUGUGUCCUGCGUGCCACAACUAGAAGGACCCACAACUAAAAUAUACAACUAUCUUCUGGGGGGAUUUGGGGAGAAAAAGCAGAAAGGAAAAAAAAGAUUGGCAACAGCUGUUAGCUCAGGUGCCAAUCUGUAAAAAAAAAAAAAGAACAAUUAGCAAAUUCAUUUACGUUCUCAGGUUUCUACUCCACUUUCAUUGAAACAGCUUUGUAGGUCAGUAUCAGCCAUUGAUAAACUACAUUUGAAUUUCAGAAGUAUAUAUGCAUUUCAAAAGUUUACUAUUUCAUAAUAGGAAAUAAAAAUUCAGCCCAUAUCCCCCAAAUGAGGCUUCCUGCCAAAGCAAAUAUUACUGUAGAAAAUAAUAAUUGGAAGAAUAAACAGCAUAUUAUUUUAUUCAUUGUUUUUACUUGCUACUUGAGCUUUCCCUGAUAAGGAUUUAAUAAAUGCUUUUUAUGAGCAUUAUAAAAAUGUGAGAAAAAUAAGCCGUCUUUUAUUUAACAUCACCAAAGAGGUAUCAACAUAUAUUGUCACACCUGUUUACUACUAUGCCUUUUAAAACACAGUUCUGUGCUGUGGCUCGGCCAAAUGCUCACUUUUAUGCACGUCAGGUUGCUAAAGAAUGAACUGCAAGGAAUCGAGGAUCUAAAUGGUAUGUUGUCGAGUGUUUAAUGUGCACCAAGUGUACCAAGUACCUUGAUGAAGCACUUUACGUGGGCCACUGCUAAGUCAUUUAAAAUCUCAUAACCAACCUGUAAUUAUCAUCUCCAUUUUAGCAUUGGGGAAACAAAUUCAGUCAGCAAAUGGUGGGGCUAGAAUUUGAACUGAGGUCUGACUCCAAAACCCAUGGUUUUUCCCACUCUACUAAGUUACACAGCUUAAAGGUUACAGUGUUCAAUCAUUCAUUAACAAAAUAUCAGUAAUACUAUCACUCAGUCUCAGAUACACAAAAAUGUAAAUUAUUUGCAGUACGUGGCUUAACUCCAAACUCAGAUGUGUAAUCCCUGAUGAUUACAAGCUGAUGAUCACUGAUGUCCUCUCUCAUAAUAAUAGACAGGCCACCAUGAAUGAACAGGAGAUUCCAAAACGUAUUGAGAACUUAGAAUGCACUUUCUUUUAUUUGAAAACAGUGCUAAAAAUAGUAAUUCUGUUCCCAGGCCAGCUCACAUUUAAAUAGUAAUUUAUCAACUGUAUCUAGCUACCAUUUAUAAAAAUAGGGAAAUAUACUUGUAUGUGUGUGGGAUGUAUUAAUACUCUGAGUUCCAAAUUGUGAUUCAGGAAUUCAUGUGCCUCCUUGUUUGUCACUGAGAACAGAGAUGUUCCUGACACCCAUGGCAGCAUGGCAACCUUGCAGAGAGGCAGGAAUUCAGCAGCAGAAUCUGGGGUCAAAGAGAAGACUAAUUAAUAGUGCCUGCUGGGAAAUCUGAACAAUCAUAUAGGAGACGGCAUUCCUCUCCUUUCAGGCAGUUUCUCUUCUACAGAACACUCAAAUCUAGAGUGUUCGUAAGUCAAAGACUAACUGUAUCACAAGUUAAUUUGGUGUACUGUGGAAAACACAUCUUCUCUUUUGUCUAUUUCUGCUUGAGCAUAAAACUAUAUGUACAAUGCUUAGUAGUCAAUUUGGCAAACAUUAUGGUUUAAAUUACAUACAACUGUUAUCUCUACGUUCAUUUGCAAAAGGAAAUCUAUACUGCCUAGUUAGUUAAUUUUUGUUACCCAGACUGUUCUGGGGCUGCUCUCACCUACCAGUUAGUAUAUAUACUCCAUGCAUUUGGUUUCACAUUGAUAUUAAAUAAAAUAUAACUAGAUAAUAAAAUAUAUAAACCCAAUAACAACAGUAAUAACAACUGUUCUGUCAAGCAACUACCAUGUGUCAGCCACUAUGUUGAUUGUUAAAUUAUUGAUUUAUGUUAAAUUAUUUCACUUAAACCUCAUAAUAACAACCCUAUGAGCUAGUUAUUAACCCAUUUCACAGAGAAAUGCAAGUUUGGUAAAGUAACUUCUCUCUUCAAGGUAACACAACUAAUAUAUGGUAGAAUGAGGUCUGCUAUGAAAGACUAUGAUCUUAAUCACUUCACUACAUUUACUGACCAACAAGGAGCCAGGAGCUGUGAGAGAAAAAAAGAGGUACAAAAUCACAGGCCUUAACCUAAAGAGAUCAUAUCCUAACAUCCAUUCAACAAAUAUUUUUUGAGUUCCUAUUAUGUUCCAGGUAGUGUUUUAAGCUGAAUCAGAGUUGUUUUUACUGGUGGCUCUUCGUUGAGGUUCUCCUCAACUAGUGUUAAUUCUAUUAUAUAAUAAUCUCCAUUGCCAAGGGUUUUUGGAGAAAUGGCUGAUUCUAGAGAAUCAGCAGAAGACUACAAAAUAAGCUUGGAACGGCUUGUCAUACUGGUAGCAAAAAAGCUAUCAAAGACUACUAGGGUCAUGUAAAAAGAUUCAGAAACCUCUUAAAGAGGCUCCCACUGGUCAAAGAUGGGACAAUUUGAGCGUCAUUAACCAUAUUAAUUGAAAUGGAUUAAAAUGUAAAUAUGUUUAAAUCUGUGAGUUUGUAAUAAUCCUUAAGAAAGUAAAACACCUUUAGAGGUUUUUAGAAAAAAAAUUCACUGUCUUGAAAACUGGUAAAUAAAAGUAAAAAAUUAAGCAUUUUUCUUGCCUUUCUUUGUAAAUUGUACUAUGCAGUAACAAAAUAGCAGAAUAGGAGAGUAUUCUAUGGAAGUAUCCUAAGUCAUAAAUGAAAGAGAAAUGAUUUAGAAUAUCACAAUUUUGCAACCCCCAAUGAAUUGUUGGAUCUAGGCAUUAACUAUCAAUGGCUGCUAACAUCAGAAAAAAAGACUCAUCCAGAUAUCAAGUGCCUCUUGAACACACUUCCUGUAGUCGUGCCAAAGGGAUAACACCUGAUUCUGAUCAAGCCUCUGGAUCCCACAGAAAAUCUGCAGGACACAUAGAGAGCAGACAGACAUGCUGAAUUAGACCAUUAGUAUGCAAUCAGCAGAAUCCAAACUGUGGGGAACUCUACAAGUCAAAUAGUCCAGGGUUCAAUAGCUAAAUUGUGAGGAGAAGAAAGAUGAGAGCCGGAACCUACAGAUUAAGAGGCUCCAAAAAAAUAUCAAAUUCAAAAAGAAAACAGGUAAAAUUAUUGUGUUUAGAGAUACACACUUGAGUCAUGAAGCUAUGGAUUAUCAUAAAAAUUAAAAUAGUGGUUACUCCUGGGGAGGGAGGCAGUUAUGAUUGGGAUAGUACACGGAGAGCUUCUGGAGUAGCUGGCAAAAUCCUACUUCUUGACCUGGGUGGUGGCUAUAACUGGGUUCACUUGAUAAUACGUUAAAUACAUUUGUUUUGUAUGGUCUUCUGAAUCUGUGCUUAUUUUACAAUAAAAUGGUUUGAAAAAAGAAGAUUCUGAGUCUGAUAGACAUAGUUGAAACUGCGUGAUCUGGCAAGUCAUCUAAUACCUCUGUGCUUCAGUUUCCUCAUGUGUACAACAGGGAAAAUAGUAAUACUUCACUAUAAUCAUGAGCAAAGUAUAGUUAAGAUCUUUAGCAAAGUGCCCAUUGGACAUUAUUAUUUCAAUAAAUGACAGUUAUUAACAAUUCAAAAAUGUGAAAUUGUACUAGGUGACCACCGAAAUUCUUUGCACAGAAUGAUUAUAGUACCCAUUUUCUUAAUCUAAAAGAUUUUCUGUGUAUCAGCCUCUUUUCAUACAACCUUGAAAGUUAAAAAAAAAUCUAAUAGAGAAAACUUCAGACAGUGCUUAUGUAAGUUUAUUUAGCCAGUAGUUAGACCAAAUGCCUUAUAAAGCAGACAUAUAUUCAGUUUGUAUAUAUGUCUUCAGUUUUACUUUUUAAAUUAACACAGAGUAAAAUUGAGUUUUGAGGGGGAGCGGGAGUAUACAAUUCUAUGAAUUUCAACACAUGUAUAAGUUUCUCUAACUACUGUCAUUCUCAGGAUACACUUCUGUCACACCAAAACACUCCCUCAUGUUAAUUCUCUAUAGUCACACACUCUCCCCACCUAUAAACCCUGGUAACUACUGAUCUGUUCUCCAUCACUAUAGAGUUGUAUUUGAGAAUGUCAUGAAUGGAAUCAUGAGACUAGACUAAGCAUAAUGCUUUUCAGAAUCAUCCAAGUUGUGGCAUCUAUCACCAGUUGGUUCCUUUUUUAUUACUGUGUAGUAUUUCACUGUAUGGUGUAUCCAUUCACACAUUGACAUUUGGGUUGUUCCGCAAUUUUCAACAACUAUGAAUAGAGCUGCUAUAAACACUCCUAUACUGGUUUG
Molecule: long non-coding RNA, 6402 nt
Filed under: Equus asinus (donkey)
Lineage: Eukaryota; Metazoa; Chordata; Mammalia; Perissodactyla; Equidae
Description: lncRNA (ENSEASG00005032906.1)
Source: RNAcentral